Molecule: transfer RNA, 67 nt
Filed under: Megacopta cribriella
Lineage: Eukaryota; Metazoa; Arthropoda; Insecta; Hemiptera; Plataspidae
Description: tRNA-Glu
Rfam family: tRNA
About the family: Transfer RNA (tRNA) molecules are approximately 80 nucleotides in length. Their secondary structure includes four short double-helical elements and three loops (D, anti-codon, and T loops). Further hydrogen bonds mediate the characteristic L-shaped molecular structure. tRNAs have two regions of fundamental functional importance: the anti-codon, which is responsible for specific mRNA codon recognition, and the 3' end, to which the tRNAs corresponding amino acid is attached (by aminoacyl-tRNA synthetases). tRNAs cope with the degeneracy of the genetic code in two manners: having more than one tRNA (with a specific anti-codon) for a particular amino acid; and 'wobble' base-pairing, i.e. permitting non-standard base-pairing at the 3rd anti-codon position.
Source: RNAcentral
ACUCAUGUAGUUUAAAAACUAAAACAUUCCAUUUUCAAUGAAAAGAUAAGGCUUACCUUUAUGAGUG